UAAUCAUGCAAGUCGAGCGAAUCUUUGGGAGCUUGCUCCCAUUGGUUAGCGGCGGACGGGUGAGUAACACGUGGGCAACCUGCCUGUAAGACUGGGAUAACUUCGGGAAACCGGAGCUAAUACCGGAUAAUUCUUUUCCUCUCAUGAGGAAAAGCUGAAAGUCGGUUUACGCUGACACUUACAGAUGGGCCCGCGGCGCAUUAGCUAGUUGGUGAGGUAACGGCUCACCAAGGCGACGAUGCGUAGCCGACCUGAGAGGGUGAUCGGCCACACUGGGACUGAGACACGGCCCAGACUCCUACGGGAGGCAGCAGUAGGGAAUCUUCCACAAUGGACGAAAGUCUGAUGGAGCAACGCCGCGUGAGCGAUGAAGGCCUUCGGGUCGUAAAGCUCUGUUGUUAGGGAAGAACAAGUACCGGAGUAACUGCCGGUACCUUGACGGUACCUAACCAGAAAGCCACGGCUAACUACGUGCCAGCAGCCGCGGUAAUACGUAGGUGGCAAGCGUUGUCCGGAAUUAUUGGGCGUAAAGCGCGCGCAGGCGGUCCUUUAAGUCUGAUGUGAAAGCCCACGGCUCAACCGUGGAGGGUCAUUGGAAACUGGGGGACUUGAGUGCAGAAGAGGAAAGCGGAAUUCCACGUGUAGCGGUGAAAUGCGUAGAGAUGUGGAGGAACACCAGUGGCGAAGGCGGCUUUCUGGUCUGUAACUGACGCUGAGGCGCGAAAGCGUGGGGAGCAAACAGGAUUAGAUACCCUGGUAGUCCACGCCGUAAACGAUGAGUGCUAAGUGUUAGGGGGUUUCCGCCCCUUAGUGCUGCAGCUAACGCAUUAAGCACUCCGCCUG
RNAcentral lists this ribosomal RNA (843 nucleotides) under Bacillus sp. (in: firmicutes). RNAcentral's name for it is "bacterial SSU rRNA". It matches the Rfam family "Bacterial small subunit ribosomal RNA", at positions 50 to 875 of the family's 1533-position model. Lineage: Bacteria; Bacillati; Bacillota; Bacilli; Caryophanales; Bacillaceae. The record is from RNAcentral.